UCUGGGAUUAGAUACCCUGUUAUUUAAAAUGUAAAUAUAAAAACUGAGGUAGUAGUAGUUAUGUUCUUGAAACUUAAAAAAUUUGGCGGUAUUUUAGUCUAUUCAGAGGAACCUGUUCUAUAAUCGAUAAUCCACGAUGGACCUUACUUAAAUUUGUAAUCAGUUUAUAUACCGUUGUUAUUAGAAUAUUUUAUAAGAAUGUUAAUUUUCAUAAUUUUAUAAAAGAAAAUAUAUCAGAUCAAGGUGUAGCUUAUAUUUAAGUAGAAAUGGGUUACAAUAAAAUUAUUUAUGCGAAUAUAAAUUUGAAAUGUUUAUUGAAGAUGGAUUUGAUAGUAAAAUUAUAAAGAUAAAUAAUUUGAUUUUAGCUCUAAAAUAUGUACAAAUCGCCCGUCACUCUCUGA
Molecule: ribosomal RNA, 401 nt
Filed under: Azaisia obscura
Lineage: Eukaryota; Metazoa; Arthropoda; Insecta; Diptera; Rhinophoridae
Description: partial small subunit ribosomal RNA
Source: RNAcentral